Peromyscus leucopus (white-footed mouse) is the source of this 798-nucleotide long non-coding RNA. RefSeq lists it as uncharacterized. NCBI's taxonomy places the organism in Eukaryota, Metazoa, Chordata, Mammalia, Rodentia, Cricetidae. The record is from RefSeq and is a predicted model, not a curated record. The transcript is spliced from 4 exons.
AAGAAAAAAGAGAGCGGAGGAGACGCUGCCAGCCAACGGUAGCAGAAGCAAGAUGUAAAGUACCGGAGAAAAUAUGGUAGAACUAUGGAAUGCUGAUUUCUGUGAGAGCUACUUUGAAAGCAGUCAUUUGAAAGCAGACCAAGUUCUCUGCCUAUGCUGAGCAACAGACAGUAUGGCCGAGCGGAGUGUGUGAGAAACCUUGUCUAUCUGAACCAGUCACUGAAUUGUGUACAGAGCUGCCUGUGGCAUCCAGACAUGAAGUAUCAGAUCUUCAUACCUCUCAGUCCUGAAAAGAGGAAUCACACAAUCUUGAUUUUUGCCUAUGAAACGUCAACAGAUUCCUGACAGAUGUACUCAGGGAAAGAAUACUACUAAACCCAGGAACUUUCUUGAGAAGGAGCCAUCAAGGACAAAACUACUUGGAAUCAGGAAACAUGGAAUAUUGCCAAUUCAAGUUCCUUGGACACUCUGUCAUGCUGGCAAGGUAGAUCUGUUGUAACAGCCUUAGGAAACUAAUCUAUGAAGUGGCCAUUAAUUUUCUCUUCAUGGGUAAGAUUUUUUUUCUAUUUUAUGCAUAGACUAGAUGGUUACAGUUGGAAUCCUCUCGUAUCUUAGCUAAGUAUCAGGUGCUAGAUUUAGAUUCUUCAGGAUUAGAAAGCUAUUGGAAUAAUCUCUGUAUUUUGCCAUUUACCUGUAUUCUGUACAUCUAGUAUAUGGUUCUUGAUUGAUGUUGUUCUUGUUGGUUGUAAUUCCAUUUUUCUUUAUGUUAUUACCCUUUUUCUUUCCUGGACAUUACUU